This is a non-coding RNA of Elaeis guineensis (African oil palm), 7045 nucleotides long. Lineage: Eukaryota; Viridiplantae; Streptophyta; Magnoliopsida; Arecales; Arecaceae. The record is from RefSeq and is a predicted model, not a curated record.
CACAGGAAACCGGGGUGGCCACUCCCCAAGGCGUCACCGGAUCGACCCCCCACGUGUUUAUCUACCCAAAUUCCGAUCGUUCUUGGACUCCUCUUCGUCUCCAUCUCGUUCUUGGUCUCCUCGUCGAUCCCUUCACGCCUUCCACGGCUUCCGAAUGCUGAGACCCCGCCCACCGCCACCGUCCUCUGCCCGUCCGGUCACGCCGCGUAGCCCUCCGGCAGCCGGAAUCCUCGUCUCCGGCGUCCGACCGGGAGGGGAACUGCCGCGGGCUCGGAUGAGCGGUCCAGUUGGGGCGUUCUAGGGUUUUUCUUCCCGUUCCUUGAUCUUUUUUCUUCGCGCCUGGGUUACCGGACGACGGUGGUGGGGGUUAGGGUUUCUUGAACGACAAUGGCUCCGGGGCGCAGGAAAGGUGGGGCCCGGGGCAAGGCGAUGGACCAGUUAAAUCUGGGGGAUUUGGUGCUGGCGAAGGUCAAGGGAUUCCCGGCAUGGCCAGCGAAGAUAAGCAACCCCGAAGAGUGGGAGCAAUCACCUGAUCCUAAGAAAUACUUCGUUCAGUUCUUCGGGACUUCUGAAAUUGCAUUUGUUGCACCAGCUGAUAUUCAAGUAUUUACUAAGGAAUCAAAAAGUAAGUUGAUAGCUCGCUGCCAGGGUAAAACUGUCAAAUAUUUUGCCCAUGCUGUGGAGGGGAUUUGUGAGGCUUUUGAAGAACUGCACAAGAAAAGUUCAGAUGAGCUUGAACAGGAUGUUGACAGGACCAGCACUGGUCCUGCAUCUUCUCAAACUGAUUGUUUUGAAGAUAGCAAACAUCUAGUAGAUAACCAUGAGAUGUCUCCAUUAAAAAAUCAGGGGGGAAAACUUGGGCAGAACGAAAGAGAUAAGAGUGAGAACUCUAUUGAUGAGCUGCAUGGCUUGGAGUGCUGUUCACGGAGUCAUGAGGGGACUGCGACCUCUGAUUUGAAGCCUAGUGAUUUAAGUGGAACAGAAUCUUUAGUUUUGUCUGAGUUGAGGAGGAAGAAAGCUUCAAAUACUGAUGGUAUACAUGAGCCACCAGAAAGGAAAGCUUCAGUGUCUAAUUCUGCUUCUGGUACUCCUUCCAUGAAGGAAGAUAAUCUAACUAGUCCUCAUCUUGAUGUCGAUCAAGGUAAUGACAGGGAAAUAUGCUCCAAAACUGAAAUGGUGGAGACUCUUCCAAAGGGCUCUGUGGCUAGCGCAUAUCAGCAUCUUUGUGAUUCAGAAAAAGACCAUGGGGAUGUGUCUUGUGGCAGACCUCUGGGUUCUCCACUUGUGGCAACAUCAGGUCAUUCGAAAAAUGCAUGCAAUGUACAGAAUGUUGUAGAGAAUGGUCAUCUCAUAGCAAAGGUGGUUCGUAAACCAAAAAUAGAACUCAACAAUGACCUGAAAGUACAAAGCAGCCCUGCACUAAAAAGGCAAAAGAAUUCUUAUAUGAAGGGGAAAAAACAACACAGGGAUGAAAAUAUUGCUUCACGUGAUGGUGCCAGACCCAAAAAAGCUUCAAAAUUAGAUACCGAUAUGAACAGUGGAAAGAGAUCAAAUGUUUUGAAAAAGUCAGAGGAGGAUUCUGGAGAAGAUACAUUACAAAGGGGACUUAGCAAGGAGGAGGAGGAAGAGGAAGAUACUACUAAGGGACAUGUCUCUGAAAGGUCACCGUCUUACGAUGGAUUUGGGGAGAAAAGGUCCCAGUUUCGUGGUAAAAAGCAUAUACUGGGUGACAAUGAAGAUUCACAACUAGCUACAAAAUUAAAAUAUGCAGACAAGGGUGGUGCAAUAACCAAGAGCUCAAGAAAUAGCAAUUUAUCUCAUUUUUCUGCUAAAAGUAAAGAGGUCAUAGAAAGUAAGAAGAAAUCUUUUACAACUCUGAAAGCGGAUGGUCAUCUGGUUUCUAAAACAGGAAUGCAUAAUGAUAGGAUGCCCAUUCAAGGCCCACCAACAUCAAAACAGCAUUGUCAUGAAUUGGAGAUGGUAUCAAACUCAGAGACUAAAAGUGCUAGAGAUAAAACCCAUGUUCGCCUUAGACGGAGGUCAUGUCGAAUUGAUGAUGAUGAUGAUGAAGAGGAAGGGCGCAAAACUCCUGUUCAUAAACAAUCUGCUAGCACUUUGAUUAUGGGAAAACCAGACAUAUCAGCUCCUACUGAGAAAUUUCAGUCACAGCAAGAAAGAUACAGUGAUCCUCCAUCAAACAUUAACGGUGGUAUGAUUGAAAACCCAGAUAUUACAAGAGAAGAGAAGUCUUCCAGUGAUGGGACAUCACCUGUUAAAAUCGAGAAUGAUUCUUCGUCUCCUUGUCCUGACAAAAUCGCAGAGAGAAGGGCAGAAAAAGCUUCUGAGUUUCUUAUAUCUCCUGUUCCUGGGAAGCCAGAAUAUCAGAAACCCUCAUUUAGUGAGGUUAGGAAAACCAUUAUUUCACCCAAAACAUCUGCUGGAUCAGGUGAUACAUCAAAGUUAUUAGAGCAUAAAUCCAUCAAGCCCCAGUCGAGAACUACAUCAGUUUUGGUAAAGAAAGCACAAAUUUCUUCAUCCAAACUUUCAAGCCAGACUCCUGAGAGCUUAUCCCGCUCUCAUAAUCAAGCUACGACUGAAAGGAAUAGGUCAUUGUCUAGGUCAGAGAUGGAGAAGGUCAAUUCUAAACCCAAGGUGCAGAUGUCUGAGGUCACUGAAAAUAUGUCUGUCAUUAUUUUUUCUGCUGAGCAUAAUGCUGAGAAGGAUGUUUUAGUGGGAGAACGAUCAGAAACUGCUAUAAAAGAUAAACCGGCAAGUUUAUCAACUGAUUCCAAGUAUACAGGUUCCUUCAAGUCAAUGAAACAUCUCAUUGCAGCUGCUCAAGCGAAGAGGAGGCAGGCACAUUCUCAUUGCCAGCCAUGUGAAAAUGCUUUUCCUGGUUCAUUACCAACACCUGUGAUACAGGGAAGAAGCCCAAGUCCUGCUUUUUCCAUUCCUUUGUCGUCAGGGAAUUCUGUUCAAAUGGAUGCAAAAGAAACUUCUGCACCUUCUGAUUCUCCAUCUGUACUUGCUCGACAAUUGUCAUCAACAAAUCAAGUAGAACUCGAAGAAUAUGAGCACAAAUUUAGUCCUGGAUAUAGACCACCCGGGGGUUCAUUGAGCGGCGGUACUGAAGCUGCUGUUGCACGUGAUGCUUUGGAAGGAAUGUUGGAAACACUUUCGAGGACAAAGGAAAGUAUUGGACGUGCAACCCGUCAUGCUAUUGAUUGUGCCAAAUAUGGAAUUGCUGGUGAGAUUGUAGAACUUCUCAUUCGGAAGCUAGAGUGUGAACCCAGCUUUCAUCGUAAAGUUGACCUCUUUUUCCUUGUGGAUUCUAUCACUCAAUGUUCACAUAACCAGAAAGGAAUCGCUGGAGCCUCAUAUGUUCCUACCGUGCAAGCAGCAUUACCACGUCUUUUGGGUGCCGCAGCUCCGCCUGGAGCUGGUGCUCGUGAGAAUCGUCGCCAAUGUCUUAAGGUCUUAAGGUUGUGGCUUGAGAGAAAAAUUCUGCCUGAGUCGCUUCUACGUCAAUAUAUGGAUGAGAUUGAUGUUCCGCAUGAUGAUGCAAAUGCUGGAUUUUUUCUGAGACGUCCAUCUCGAGCUGAGCGUUCUGUGGAUGAUCCGAUCAGAGAAAUGGAAGGCAUGCUUGUUGAUGAGUAUGGAAGCAAUGCAACUUUUCAGUUGCCUGGACUCUUAUCUUCCCAUGUUUUUGGAGUUGAGGAUGAAAAUCUUCCUAGUAGCAAGGAUGCUGGCAAUGGAUUGGCAGUUGAAGUUGUCAGUGCUUCAGAAGAGCUAGAUACUUGUGCCUUUACUCUAAGUGACAGACAUCAUCACAUACUGGAGGAUGUGGAUGGUGAACUUGAAAUGGAAGAUGUGUCUGCCUUAUCCAAAGAUGAGAAAAGUGUAUCCGGGAAUAAUCACCUAAAACUGGAAUCUCAGCAUCAGAACUCUGACUUAGCUUUUGAAUCUGCAUUGACUGAUCAAACUGACCUUCCCCCUCUACCUGUGGGUCCUCCUCCGUUGCCUUUGGAUCCACCUCCACUGCCUUUGGAUCCUCCGCCUCCACUGCCACCUUUGCCUCCAUCACCGUCGCCGCCGCCGCCGCCACCACCACCACCACCACCACCAUUGUCACCAUCUCCUCCACCUCCACCACCACCCCCACCAUUAUCUGCAGUGUCACCCCUGCCAUCUCUUCUGCCACACCCCCCCAUGCUGUCUUCAUCCCCAUCAUCAUUGUUAUAUCAUCCUUCUAUACAAGAAUAUUGCAGGACCCCAAGUGGCAAUCAACUAGCCCAGAUGACUGCAAAUGCUACCAUCCAGGGCCAGGAUAAUGCUGCUUUGAAAAGUGAAGUGGUUCUGCAGCAGCCUGCUAACUUCAUGACAAGUGGCAUCUACAACACACAACCUAUAGCCAGCCUUAGUUCCUCGAGGCCAUAUGAAUAUAGACAUAAUGACAUGUAUUUAACCACUCAAUCUUCCUAUGCCAGUCACCAGUUUCAACAGGGCAGUGCACCCUUCCACCAAAGACCUUACCAUUCUCUUCCACCUGCACAAACACCCCCAAGUCAUCCCUUUCCACCUGCACAAACACCAUCAAAUCAUUUCUCACAUGUUAACCCUGUGAGUCAACAAAAUAUGCAGCAGCAAUGUAAUCCUUACACCUUGUCAUCUCAUCCUAAUAGCCAGAGGCAUUUUGGUUCGGAUGAACAAUGGAGGGUGCAUUCCAGUGAUUUUAGUCCAGAUAAUCAUCAUAACGCUUGGGUAUCUGGAGGGUCAGGAGCUUCUUUGGUGCAGGAUGGAUUUUUGAGGUCUAACAUGGAAAGACCAUCUUCAAGUUCCGUGUGUUUUCAGUUUCCUUUGAAUACUCAUAUGCCAUCUGGUGGAGAUUCAGUUCCAGGUUGUUUUGAUUUGCAAAUUGGGCAUUUGGCAAAGUCAAAUUUUUAUUAUCAUCAUGUUGUGAUUGCUUUGUUUUUUGAAUUUAUCCAGGCCAUGGUCUUCACCAGAUGUUAUCAUGUAGGCCUGAUAUUCCUCCUCUUAAUUGUUGGAGGCCAGCUUAAUGGUGAAUCUGGUAGUGUUCACUUUGUGCUUUUAGCUGUAUGACAUAUGGAAGGUGGGGACUUGCAACACUGAUAUUUGUGGAGGAGGAGCUUUCCUUGGAAAGAGGCAAUUGCCAUAAGAGAUGGUGGCAAGAUCUAGAACUGCCUGUUGGCAAGGCUUUGUACAUUUUAAUUUUGUCUUGACAAUUGCAUCAAGCAGGCUAAUCGCUGCUAAAUAAGUAGAAAUAUCUGGGUGGAAGCAAAAUAGGCAUGAGAUGAGGAGAAUAUGUGAUUUACUUGAGAGAAAUGAGUAAGAAGGAUUCAGAGUGUGACAUUGGCUGGGAGCAUGGUGAGAUGCUCUUAGCUAGGCAUCAUUAGAGAUGCAAAUGAUGCGGCACAGAAUUCAAAGGAGGGGUGAUUAGGUUGAAGCAGCAUUUGGCUGGUGGUUAUUGGGAUGUGGUCAUGUGUCAGAAAUAUUCACAGGAGGUCUGACAGCUUAUGAAGUAUUUCGCUGAUCAGAAAGCAGCGAAGAAGAGGACAGAGGUAGACCGUCGAGCUGGAGAGCCAGCUUCCUCUAAUUCCAGAGAGUUAGAGGAGGCCUCUGCUCCAUAUGAGGAGGCAGUGAAAGUGAUGGUAGCAGUCAUGGAUUUGAUGAUCAGAGAGAGACUGGAGGAUACGAGAUCACUAUUCAUGAGACAUCGCAAGGUGGUAUUCGAUUCAUCGGUGAGUUUUAAUUUAUAUUUGCCACAAAGGUGGACGACCUGAUAGAUCCCGUGAGGAGAUGAUCUCAUAUAGGUGACAGCCUCUCAGAGGUCGUCCAGCACAUGAUACUGCUGCAAAUGAUUUUGCACGUGGAGUAGGAUCCAUGGAUGUAUCUGGAUUAUUCUCUUAUUAUGUAUCCUAUUACCCGCAGGCAGCUUAUGAUCCAUAUGGAUAUGGUGUAUCCGAGACAUCGGCUUCCAGUGGCUACCAUCCUACGCAGCCCAGAAUAUCUUAUGGAUCGAUUUUGUUACCGACAUAUUUGGAUGAGCCCCUCCACAGUCAUACCAUCAUUCCGAGGAUAACUCUCAGAGUCAGAGUUUAAACGAGAGAUCUGAUAUGUCUUACAAUCUAGAGAGGAUACGUUAUGGGAUGAAUAUUCAGGAUCACAGUGCUACUUGGUUAUAGUAAUGGACAGAUGUUCCUCCGAAGUAUGCAGAUGAUUUGGAUAUCUAUGAGUGACAAAGACACUCGACGAGAUAUUAGAUCGGCAGAGAUCCUGAGGUUUUUGGCUGCAUGUGAGGUGAUCUAUGUAAAUACAUAUCUUAUCAGAAUCAUAUGUGGCUAAUGAAGAAGUUAUGUUAAAUGUUCCUGGCAAAUGAAAACAGCUUCAAAUGCUGCUAUGAAGUUUGAAAAUGCCAUAGGUUCUUGGAGAAAUGUACAGUUCAAUGACAUUCUGCAGAGCAUUUUCAUAAGAUCGGACAGAGGAUGGAGAAAUCCUGGCCAGAACCAGGUUGAGGGUGGAAUCAAACGCUGGUAACUAAUAACCAAGGCCUGGUGACUUUACCAGCUCAACCAGGGGGCACGAUCAUCUUAACAUGGAUACUUUUUAAGGUACUUGUUAAUUAUCAUGGCCUCUGCAAAUUCAGCUGUUUUAUGUCUGUUUAUCCAAACUCUGUGGUUAGUUAUGUACCUAUCCUUUACUAUUCACUAUGAAGAAUCACUAAUGAACCCCUGUAAUAAAUUUCUAGCCCUCCAGAUAUCCGUGAAUUAAUCAAAUCAUCAUCAUCAAAAUCAGUACUUAUAUCGAGUUGUAUAUGGUUCUUCAUAACUCCUGAAUAACAAACAGUAACCAACCUGUGCUCAUCCUGUUUACAGCUAUGGUUGACAAACUAAUCUCUGUAUAUCUCUUCCCACACUUUCUAUAUAUGUUUUUUUCCCCCUUCAGAGGGCAUGGCAAUAAGAGAUGGAACAGAGACUAGCUAGAUAUGGUAAAAUUAGCAGAAGCAUGGACAAAUAUCUUUCAUUUA